Molecule: ribosomal RNA, 312 nt
Filed under: uncultured archaeon
Lineage: Archaea
Description: bacterial SSU rRNA
Rfam family: Bacterial small subunit ribosomal RNA
Source: RNAcentral
GGAACUCUGAUGCAUCUAUGCCGCGCGAGCGAAGAAGGCCUUUGGGUUGUAAAGCUCUUUUGUAGGGGAAGAUAAUGACUGUACCCUAAGAAUAAGGUCCGGCUAACUUCGUGCCAGCAGCCGCGGUAAUACGAAGGGACCUAGCGUAGUUCGGAAUUACUGGGCGUAAAGCGCGCGUAGGCCGUUGAGUUAGUUAAUUGUGAAAUCCCAAAGCUUAACUUUGGAACUGCAAUUACAACUGCUCGACUAGAGUUUGAUAGAGGAAAGCGGAAUACAUAGUGUAGAGGUGAAAUUCGUAGAUAUUAUGUAGAA